RNA transcript from Ornithodoros turicata, 4158 nucleotides. RefSeq lists it as uncharacterized. The transcript is spliced from 7 exons. The record is from RefSeq and is a predicted model, not a curated record. Lineage: Eukaryota; Metazoa; Arthropoda; Arachnida; Ixodida; Argasidae.
UGUUUUUGUCUCUGGCUUUGUUGGCGUUGUCACGUGUGUGAAAAAUGUGCGCGAAAACAAAGGACUUCUUCGGCACCCGUCCCUGUUUUUCAAGUAGGCAAGGUGUGUGCAGUUGAUUUUUUUUUCGCUUUGAAACUGAGUGGCGAAAUUGAGGAGGCCCUGUAUUAUGCGACGUUUUGACAUUCACGCUGUUCGUUACAUUUGGCGUAAAGCUUGUCUAAACAAAACACGCAACUGCACGAACGAAGCGGUAAUGAAGCCGUAGAUUAGGAAACUGGAACUCUGCCACUAUUGCUGAGGCACGCAUGUUACGUUUAAGUAGAGUCGACGCUGUCGUGACAGAUUUUGUACCGAGAUAUUUCCUUGAAGCCUACGUGUGCGGUGUGCAACAUGUCUUACCAUGGUAUUACUGAAGUAACGGAGCGAAUUGCGAUCCAUGAACCUUGUUGCACGUCAAAAAGACGGAAGUAAAAAGCUGGACACUGCGUGACAUCCGAUUGUGCUCUAGAGAACCCCUGGGGUCAAACCCUUGAGGUUGCAAUUGUGCCUUACGAACAAUCCAGUGCUACAACUGCCUUCAAAAGCAUUAUUGAAUGGAUACGACGCUGUCAGAUCUGACGACAAACCACGUUGUGGACGCAGAAGUGCAAACUGCUCCAUGUGGAGCGCUAUGCACCUCCUGCAAUAUUCUGCACAAGAAGGUCAACAUUCUUACACAAAGGGUAGAAGAACUUACCAUCUCCAACAAGAAACUGUCUGAACAGCUUGCAUCACAGAACAAUGUCAACUUGAUGCCAGAGAAGCAGCUGAUAUUUUAUACUGGCAUUUCCAAGGCAAGAUUCUUAGCCUUGCUGGCAGCUAUUGUGGUGUGCCUACCACAGGCACAGAAAAUCCCGCAUUCAGCUCAGCUUCUCAUGGUACUUAUGAAGUUGAGACUAGCACUACCGUACCAGGACUUAGCAUACAGGUUUAACGUCCACCGACACACUGUCAGCUCUACAUUCAAGAUCUGGAUCAAGCCACUGGCAAUUCGAUGCAGCCAUCUAGUGAAAUUUCUCAGUCCAAGUGUUGCACAGAGUUGGCUAGCAAAGACAGAAAGAAGAAGUUCCCACGUCUGCGCAGCAUUAUGGACUGCACAGAAGUGAAGGUAUCACGGGUUCCUCGAUCUUCUCAAUGAAAAGGACCAGGUCCUGGCAGACCGAGGAUUCCUUCUGCAUGACGAAUUUGCCCUGAGAAAUGUGGAGCUGAUUACGCCCACAUUCACCAAAAACAAGCAACAGUUGAGUGCCAUUGAGACUGCCAAAUCACGGAGAAUAUCCUCAACACGGAUCAUUGUGGAGCGGGCUAUUGGGUACCUGAAGAAGUGGCGUAUCUUGACAGGGACUGUUCCAUACCACCUCUGCCCAAUGUAUGAUGACAUACUUGUUGUGGUGUCAGGACUGACAAAUGUAGCACUACCGAUUGCAAAGAAAGAAAGGAGGUCGCAAGGAUUCACAUCCUCCAAAGAGUACAGGCAUUUCACUUCCACCAGUGAUGGAGGGUGGCAGUCGCACUCAAAAAUUCCGUCCGGUGUACAGUCCAAGAAGGGGUACUUGGGGUGCACCAUCAACCCACAUUCCUUCAGGAGGGCAUUGAGAUGCCUCUGGCGGAGGGCAUCCAGUAACGCCACUUUUGUAAUUGGCUCAUUUUUCCGGCCAUACAGUACUGCCGGCGUAGUUAAUGGUCAUGGAUUUUUCUCAGCAGUGAGGAGCAGUUCACCAUCUUUGAUAGACACACGUCCUUGAACAGAGAGGCAGUGAUGCGCCCCUUACGAUGGUUUUUCCAUUCUACGCAUUCGUGCUGCGCACGUGUUGCCUGUUCUAUCUCAAUGGCAUCGUCUUCACUCACACACAAGUGGUGCACAACACUUUCACAUAGUUCAGUUAUAUUCUCAUUACAGUGCCCUUUCUUUCGCAGGGUUCGCUGGGUCAGCGAGCACAGAGGAGUCUCCAAGUUAAUGACGAUCUUCUGUGGCUCCUCUGGAAGACCAUCACUGUCAGAUAUGUCAUCACUACUGUCAGAGGCAGGUUCUGACGUUUCAUUCAUCUCCACUAAUGUGAAGUACCGUGCAUCUGGUGCAAUCUGUAAAGGAAUAUUCAGUGUCAUGAUGAAUUUGGACAGUUCAGCUCUGCAUGUUCCAAGUGAAGUCAUAUUGUGCAAAGCUUACUCUCUUCAGCUCUGCCAGGGACGCAUCAACUUCUGGUUCAAUCUGUUGUGCAGCUUGCAGUGGACGUUUUCUUUGCCUUACUUCUGUCCUCUUAUGGACAAACAACAACUCCUCUGCUGGCACAGGUUGAACCUGAAGGGAAAUACAAUCAUGAAACGUGAGUGUAUCACAUGCAGCAACAGACUGUACAUGUGUGUUACAGCAACAAGAACAUUUUUAGAGCCUGAACAUUUAGAGAAAAUAUUUUUUCCCCAAUUUUGGGUACAAAUCGGGUAAUUAAGUAUGUGCAAUAAAUUUAUGCAAAUAGGUAGGAACCCUUUCAGCAUGCCAGUUUCACGAGGCAACCGGACUCUAGAAUCUGAAGCAAAUCUUAUUGCACCCUCAAAAACCAUUAGUGCUGUAGGCUAGUUUUGUACACAUUAUAGAACAGGUAGCACAACCUAUACAUACAUGAUGAUAUCCUACGAGAUAACCUAAACAUGGAGACUAGGAACACAAAAGAAGGACAACUAAAUCAGACCUAUUGGCACAGCUAUAGUCAUGAGGCUUGAGCGAUCCUGGGUGUUGGUAGGUACUAUCGUAGACAAAAAGCAUUACCUGCAUAUGGUUUAGCAAAGGGCUAUUUUUCUGUUAGUAAUCAGGUUUUACCCUAAAAUAGUCAUCCUGAAUUCGCAGUGUUAAAUCGGGAGAGAAUCUGGUUAAACUGCAAAACUUCAGGCUCUAACCAUUUGCAGAUGAUUGCUACAAUUCCAAGAACAACUUCAGAUUAUGUUGCUAACUAACGCAUCAUCACUAUGAAAUCAGAAUGCUAUUACAAUUACUGUUCUAUAUGUUAUAAAGUGCAAAAUACCUUCUUGAGGCAGGGCACAGCCCACUGGCAGGCCUGGUCUGUUGGACCACAAGAUUGUGCAGUUUCUUCGUGCCACAUUUUUACUGUGAAGCAGAUGGCAGCUGCAUAGCUGCAGCACCUACCAUAUCUGAAGGUUUCUUAUUAGUAAAAUUUCACAUGCAAAACAAGUGUCAUCCAGUUAUCUCCGCUGAAACAUUACACUUACCCUGCCAUACAUGUGCAGUAUGCGUCAAGUAUCUUGCCAUAUGCUGUUGCUGCUAUCCAGCAGGCUUCUCGGAUCUUUGUGGGGGGUCACUUCGCCUUGCAGAACAACAGUGCCAACUGCUGGACUCGCACUCAGCACGCUGUGCACUUUGCCUGCGCAAAAAGGGGUUUUGAUGAUGUUUCAUGUUUUUUUGCGCAAUAACACCAGAAAAAGGUUUUGUUACAAAAUUUGUUACAGUAACAUUUACCGACUUAACCUUUAAAAUUGCAAUGUCUUGUUUUUGGAAAACCUGCUGCACACAAAGCCCCUGGACGUAUACCUGACAUAACAUAGUUGUCGCCCUCAAGGGCUUUAAAAGCCUCGAAAGGCUGGCUGUCAACCCCCAGUUCCUGCAGGAAGUAUGAUUUGAUAUCUGCUUCUGUCAAGAGGGGCCACAUGCAUUUGUCUGCAGUGUACUGAAGUGCCCGGAUGUCAUAUCCAGAUGGAUCCCACUGCAAGAUUUAUCAAUACAAGGUGCUUAGCGUGCCGCAGUAGAGUCACUGUUACAAACUAGCUAGCACAUAGAGAAAUGCGACAGGAGUGAGAUACAGUGGUCUUACAUGAGCAGGCAAUGGGGAUUACCUCUCUGCAUUGGCUCACUGAAGAGUAGAAAAGUUAAAAAUUAUAUUAUAUAUAUUUUGACCAAUAUUUCCUGACGUAGAUGGGGACUGAAGCGUUGAUUUGAAAGAGAGUAUGAAGGGAACCGUGUGCCCUUGAUCAGCUGUCGGGGCAGUAAAUGCAAAGAGCAUGUGUUUCGAUAAUGCCUUCCAGAUGUUAAAAUAUUGUUCCAACAUCGAACUGACGCGUUGUACUUACUACAAACUUGCUGGGGAAAUAAAAUGUAAGCUGCUCUUUGCA